This 256-nucleotide ribosomal RNA is filed under the name uncultured bacterium. RNAcentral describes it as "partial 16S ribosomal RNA". It matches the Rfam family "Bacterial small subunit ribosomal RNA", at positions 524 to 776 of the family's 1533-position model. The record is from RNAcentral.
UACGGGGGGGGGUAAGCGUUGUUCGGAAUUACUGGGCGUAAAGGGCUCGUAGGCGGCCAACUAAGUCGGACGUGAAAUCCCUCAGCUUAACUGGGGGAACUGCGUCUGAUACUGGAUGGCUUGGAUUUGGGAGAGGGAUGCGGAAUUCCAGGUGUAGCGGUGAAAUGCGUAGAUAUCUGGAGGAACACCGGUGGCGAAGGCGGCAUCCUGGACCAACAUUGACGCUGAGGAGCGAAAAGCCAGGGGAGCAAACGGG